AUUGAACGCUGGCGGCAUGCUUUACACAUGCAAGUCGAACGGUAACAGGCCGCAAGGUUCUGACGAGUGGCGAACGGGUGAGUAAUGCAUCGGAACGUGCCCAGUCGUGGGGGAUAACUACUCGUAAGAGUAGCUAAUACCGCAUACGAUCUAUGGAUGAAAGCGGGGGACCGUAAGGGCUCGCGCGAUUGGAGCGGCCGAUGUCAGAUUAGGUAGUUGGUGGGGUAAAGGCUCACCAAGCCAACGAUCUGUAGCUGGUCUGAGAGGACGACCAGCCACACUGGAACUGAGACACGGCCAAGACUCCUACGGGAGGCAGCAGUGGGGAAUUUUGGACAAUGGGCGCAAGCCUGAUCCAGCAAUGCCGCGUGCAGGAAGAAGGCCUUCGGGUUGUAAACUGCUUUUGUACGGAACGAAACGGCUCUGGUUAAUACCCGGGGCUAAUGACGGUACCGGAAGAAUAAGCACCGGCUAACUACGUG
Molecule: ribosomal RNA, 482 nt
Filed under: uncultured bacterium
Lineage: Bacteria
Description: partial 16S ribosomal RNA
Rfam family: Bacterial small subunit ribosomal RNA
Source: RNAcentral